GAGCGCGCCGGGGAGGGCAGCUGCGGGAGUGGGGGCGGCAGGAGCCGCGGAGCCGGCGCCGAGGGCGGCAGCGGCCGGAGCGGGCGGCCGAGACAAAGGCGACGCUCAGAACUGCUUCAGACCUAGAAGCCUGCUUUGGAGGAAGAGUCCUAGUAGGCAUCUCUUUUUACUUGACCAGCUUCUCUUCAGUGUGCUGUCCUCACCUGUCCAGGGUCCAGCCCAGUGGGGAAGAGGACUCGGGGGAAAGUUGUAGGUCCUUCUAGUUGUGGCAUGUGGGAUGCCGCCUCAGCAUGGCCUGAUGAGUGGUGCCAUGUGCAUGCCCAAGAUUGGAACUGGCGAAACCCUGGGCCACCAGAGCGGAGCCCUCGAACCUAACCACUCUGCCACGGGGCUGGCCCCUAAUGCGUAAUUUAAGUGUCUCCUUUUUUUUUAGUUCAAUUAUGCUACCUUAGUUUAUUAUUUUGUCAACAUAGGAGAAUCUGUGGUAAUCUUUAAAAAGAAUGUAUGAGCUAGUAAAUGUAGCUUUUCCCCUUAAAAUCUAGACUGAAAAGAUGUAUGCUUUUUUUGAUAUUGCGCUUUCUAAAAAAAUUUUAUUUCCUUAUAAAA
RNAcentral lists this long non-coding RNA (606 nucleotides) under Equus asinus (donkey). Its description in RNAcentral is "lncRNA (ENSEASG00005032018.1)". The record is from RNAcentral. Lineage: Eukaryota; Metazoa; Chordata; Mammalia; Perissodactyla; Equidae.